Molecule: transfer RNA, 71 nt
Filed under: Mariniblastus sp.
Lineage: Bacteria; Pseudomonadati; Planctomycetota; Planctomycetia; Pirellulales; Pirellulaceae
Description: tRNA-Ala
Rfam family: tRNA
About the family: Transfer RNA (tRNA) molecules are approximately 80 nucleotides in length.
Source: RNAcentral
GGGGUGCUCGUCAAACGGGAAGACAUUUGCUUUGCACGCAGAAGAUCGGGGUUCGAUUCCCCGGCACUCCA